RNAcentral lists this ribosomal RNA (427 nucleotides) under uncultured bacterium. RNAcentral describes it as "partial 16S ribosomal RNA". It matches the Rfam family "Bacterial small subunit ribosomal RNA", at positions 355 to 774 of the family's 1533-position model. The record is from RNAcentral.
UGGGGAAUAUUGGACAAUGGGCGAAAGCCUGAUCCAGCCAUGCCGCGUGUGUGAAGAAGGUCUUCGGAUUGUAAAGCACUUUAAGUUGGGAGGAAGGGCAUUAACCUAAUACGUUAGUGUUUUGACGUUACCGACAGAAUAAGCACCGGCUAACUCUGUGCCAGCAGCCGCGGUAAUACAGAGGGUGCAAGCGUUAAUCGGAAUUACUGGGCGUAAAGCGCGCGUAGGUGGUUUGUUAAGUUGGAUGUGAAAUCCCCGCGCUCAACCUGGGAACUGCAUUCAAAACUUACUGACUAGAGUAUCGUAGAGGGUGGUGGAAUUUCCUGUGUAGCGGUGAAAUGCGUAGAUAUAGGAAGGAACACCAGUGGCGAAGGCGACCACCUGGAAUAAUACUGACACUGAGGUGCGAAAGCGUGGUGAGCAAACA